Molecule: long non-coding RNA, 571 nt
Filed under: Homo sapiens (human)
Lineage: Eukaryota; Metazoa; Chordata; Mammalia; Primates; Hominidae
Description: HSALNT0275218
Source: RNAcentral
CGGAUUAGCACCUUAACGGAUUAGCGUGGCAAGCAGGCCCAUUCUGAAAGAAAAAGGAAGUUCUCGUCGCAGAAAGAAAAUAAUACCAAAGGGAAACAAAAUUUCAAGAAGGAAUAAAGAACAGUGGAAGAGUAAAUAUGAAGACCAAGAGCAGUGAUGACCUUUUAGCUGGAAUGGCCAGAGGGGUAACGGUGACUAAUGGUGUUAAAGGGAAGGAAAGCUCCUGCCCAUCUGCAGCACCUUCGGCAUCUGCCCCUGCCAUGACCACUGUGGAGAACAAAUCCAAGAUUAGCACAGGUAUGGGUGACAUUCAGUCUGAGACUUCAACUGCUUUUUUGUUUGAAUAGGCAGGAUGCAUUGGUGUUUACAGUGUUCCAUCUCAUUAUAGGAAAUUGUAGACAUACAAAAGUAGAUGGAUUGAUAUUUCAGCCCAAUACGCUCAUCACGCUCAUCACCAUUAUCAGCUCACAGCCAGUUGUAACUCUGUGAUACCCACCCUCCCCUCUUAUUAUUUUGAAGCAGAUUCUGGACAUCAUAUCAUUUCAUCCAUAAAUAUUUUAUUAUCUUGGAA